ACUCCUACGGGAGGCAGCAGUGGGGAAUAUUGCACAAUGGGGAAACCCUGAUGCAGCCAUGCCGCGUGUGUGAAGAAGGCCUCGGUUGUAAAGCACUUCAGUAGGGAGGAAGGUAGUGUAGUUAACACCUGCACUAUUUGACGUUACCUACAGAAGAAGCACCGGCUAACUCCGUGCCAGCAGCCGCGGUAAUACGGAGGGUGCGAGCGUUAAUCGGAAUUACUGGGCGUAAAGCGCAUGCAGGCGGCCUGUUAAGUCAGAUGUGAAAGCCCGGGGGCUUAACCUCGGAAUUGCAUUUGAAACUGGCAGGCUAGAGUCUUGUAGAGGGGGUAGAAUUUCAGGUGUAGCGGUGAAAUGCGUAGAGAUCUGAAGGAAUACCAGUGGCGAAGGCGGCCCCCUGGACAAAGACUGACGCUCAGAUGCGAAAGCGUGGGGAGCAAACAGGAUUAGAUACCCUGUAGCACAGAG
RNAcentral lists this ribosomal RNA (468 nucleotides) under uncultured bacterium. RNAcentral describes it as "bacterial SSU rRNA". It matches the Rfam family "Bacterial small subunit ribosomal RNA", at positions 335 to 799 of the family's 1533-position model. The record is from RNAcentral.